UAUUGUCUUCAGGGCAGGGUGUAAUUCCCGACCGGCGGUAAAAGUCCGCGACCUAACUUUUUUUAAGUUGGCUGAUUCGUUGCAAAUACGAAACCGAUAGUUAAAGUCUAGAUGGGAGAAGACAGAU
Molecule: non-coding RNA, 127 nt
Filed under: Holzapfeliella floricola
Lineage: Bacteria; Bacillati; Bacillota; Bacilli; Lactobacillales; Lactobacillaceae
Also listed under: 1 other name
Description: Lactobacillus floricola FMN sequence
Rfam family: FMN riboswitch aptamer (RFN element)
About the family: The RFN element is a highly conserved domain that is found frequently in the 5'-untranslated regions of prokaryotic mRNAs that encode for flavin mononucleotide (FMN) biosynthesis and transport proteins. This element is a metabolite-dependent riboswitch that directly binds FMN in the absence of proteins. In Bacillus subtilis, the riboswitch most likely controls gene expression by causing premature transcription termination within the 5' untranslated region of the ribDEAHT operon and precluding access to the ribosome-binding site of ypaA mRNA.
Source: RNAcentral